RNAcentral lists this ribosomal RNA (253 nucleotides) under uncultured prokaryote. Its description in RNAcentral is "partial 16S ribosomal RNA". It matches the Rfam family "Bacterial small subunit ribosomal RNA", at positions 524 to 776 of the family's 1533-position model. The record is from RNAcentral.
UACGUAGGGUGCGAGCGUUAAUCGGAAUUACUGGGCGUAAAGCGUGCGCAGGCGGUUCGCCAAGUCAGGUGUGAAAUCCCCGGGCUUAACCUGGGAAUUGCGCUUGAAACUAGCGGGCUUGAGUGCGGCAGAGGGGGGUGGAAUUCCACGUGUAGCAGUGAAAUGCGUAGAGAUGUGGAGGAACACCGAUGGCGAAGGCAGCCCCCUGGGUCGACACUGACGCUGAUGCGCGAAAGCCAGGGGAGCGAACGGG